RNAcentral lists this ribosomal RNA (407 nucleotides) under uncultured bacterium. RNAcentral's name for it is "partial 16S ribosomal RNA". It matches the Rfam family "Bacterial small subunit ribosomal RNA", at positions 30 to 526 of the family's 1533-position model. The record is from RNAcentral.
AUUGAACGCUGGCGGCAGGCCUAACACAUGCAAGUCGAGCGGAGCGGCGGACGGGUGAGUAAUGCCUAGGAAUCUGCAUGGUAGUGGGGGAUAACGUCCGGAAACGGGCGCUAAUACCGCAUACUAUCAGAUGAGCCUAGGUCGGAUUGGCUAGUUGGGGGGGUAAAGGCCUACCAAGGCUACGAUCCGUAACUGGGCUGAGAGGAAGAGCAGUCACACUGGAACUGAUACACGGUCCAGAAUCCUACGGGAGGCAGCAGUGGGGAAUAUUGCACAAUGGGCGAAAGCCUGAUGCAGCCAUGCCGCGUGGGUGAAGAAGGUCUUCGGAUUGUAAAGCACUUUAAGUUGUGAGGCGUUACCAACAGAAUAAGCACCGGCUAACUGCGUGCCAGCAGCCGCGGUAAUUC